Molecule: ribosomal RNA, 450 nt
Filed under: uncultured bacterium
Lineage: Bacteria
Description: bacterial SSU rRNA
Rfam family: Bacterial small subunit ribosomal RNA
Source: RNAcentral
CCCCAGACUCCUACGGGAGGCAGCAGUGGGGAAUAUUGCACAAUGGGGGGAACCCUGAUGCAGCAAUGCCGCGUGAAGGAUGAAGGUUUUCGGAUUGUAAACUUCUUUUGUACGGGACGAAGAAAGUGACGGUACCGUAAGAAUAAGCCACGGCUAAAUACGUGCCAGCAGCCGCGGUAAUACGUAUGGUGCGAGCGUUGUCCGGAUUUACUGGGCGUGAAGGGGGCGCAGGCGGCGCGCCAAGCCCGAUGUGAAAGCCCGGGGCUCAACCCCGGGACUGCAUUGGGAACUGGCGUGCUGGAGUGCCGGAGGGGCAGGCGGAAUUCCUGGUGUAGCGGUGAAAUGCGUAGAUAUCAGGAGGAACACCGGUGGCGAAGGCGGCCUGCUGGACGGAUACUGACGCUGAGGCCCGAAAGCGUGGGGAGCGAACAGGAUUAGAUACCCGCGUAC